UUUCGGGUCACGUACAUCCGAGGGUCG
This 27-nucleotide ribosomal RNA is filed under the name Cacopsylla pyricola. RNAcentral's name for it is "partial 5.8S ribosomal RNA". RNAcentral also lists the same sequence under 2 other names. Lineage: Eukaryota; Metazoa; Arthropoda; Insecta; Hemiptera; Psyllidae. The record is from RNAcentral.